Molecule: long non-coding RNA, 275 nt
Filed under: Moschus moschiferus (Siberian musk deer)
Lineage: Eukaryota; Metazoa; Chordata; Mammalia; Artiodactyla; Moschidae
Description: lncRNA (ENSMMSG00000009264.1)
Source: RNAcentral
AUGAACAUUAGAAACUUUGGAAGCGAGUGGAAUGCAGAAGCUUGGAUGCAGCCGCACGAAUCAGCCGACGAAGGUAGGAUGUUUUUGCUGGUCUAGUCUCAGAAAUUAUAUCUUCAGUCUCUGCAAUGAUCCCAAGUUCAAUGGUGCCCAGUUGCCUCCAGGCCCCAGACUUCUAUGUGAACAAGAAAAGCUCACUGAGGAAAUGGUAAUUCUUCCGUGAGAUGUCAUGUCCAGUUGCAGUUAUGAGUCUUAAGACCACCUGUCAGAUGGUGUGA